Molecule: ribosomal RNA, 651 nt
Filed under: Bacillus tequilensis
Lineage: Bacteria; Bacillati; Bacillota; Bacilli; Caryophanales; Bacillaceae
Description: bacterial SSU rRNA
Rfam family: Bacterial small subunit ribosomal RNA
Source: RNAcentral
UGAUGUUAGCGGCGGACGGGUGAGUAACACGUGGGUAACCUGCCUGUAAGACUGGGAUAACUCCGGGAAACCGGGGCUAAUACCGGAUGGUUGUUUGAACCGCAUGGUUCAAACAUAAAAGGUGGCUUCGGCUACCACUUACAGAUGGACCCGCGGCGCAUUAGCUAGUUGGUGAGGUAACGGCUCACCAAGGCAACGAUGCGUAGCCGACCUGAGAGGGUGAUCGGCCACACUGGGACUGAGACACGGCCCAGACUCCUACGGGAGGCAGCAGUAGGGAAUCUUCCGCAAUGGACGAAAGUCUGACGGAGCAACGCCGCGUGAGUGAUGAAGGUUUUCGGAUCGUAAAGCUCUGUUGUUAGGGAAGAACAAGUACCGUUCGAAUAGGGCGGUACCUUGACGGUACCUAACCAGAAAGCCACGGCUAACUACGUGCCAGCAGCCGCGGUAAUACGUAGGUGGCAAGCGUUGUCCGGAAUUAUUGGGCGUAAAGGGCUCGCAGGCGGUUUCUUAAGUCUGAUGUGAAAGCCCCCGGCUCAACCGGGGAGGGUCAUUGGAAACUGGGGAACUUGAGUGCAGAAGAGGAGAGUGGAAUUCCACGUGUAGCGGUGAAAUGCGUAGAGAUGUGGAGGAACACCAGUGGCGAAGGCG